RNAcentral lists this ribosomal RNA (497 nucleotides) under uncultured bacterium. RNAcentral describes it as "partial 16S ribosomal RNA". It matches the Rfam family "Bacterial small subunit ribosomal RNA", at positions 28 to 507 of the family's 1533-position model. The record is from RNAcentral.
GAUGAACGCUGGCGGCGUGCCUAAUACAUGCAAGUCGAGCGAACAGACGAGGAGCUUGCUCCUCUGACGUUAGCGGCGGACGGGUGAGUAACACGUGGAUAACCUACCUAUAAGACUGGGAUAACUUCGGGAAACCGGAGCUAAUACCGGAUAAUAUAUUGAACCGCAGGGUUCAAUAGUGAAAGACGGUUUUGCUGCCACUUAUAGAUGGAUCCGCGCCGCAUUAGCUAGUUGGUAAGGUAACGGCUUACCAAGGCAACGAUGCGUAGCCGACCUGAGAGGGUGAUCGGCCACACUGGAACUGAGACACGGUCCAGACUCCUACGGGAGGCAGCAGUAGGGAAUCUUCCGCAAUGGGCGAAAGCUUGACGGAGCAACGCCGCGUGAGUGAUGAAGGUCUUCGGAUCGUAAAACUCUGUUAUUAGGGAAGAACAAAUGUGUAAGUAACUAUGCACGUCUUGACGGUACCUAAUCAGAAAGCCACGGCUAACUACGUG